GCGAGUGAAGCGGGAACAGCUCAAAUUUGAAAUCUGGCCCUUGGGUCCGAGUUGUAAUUUGCAGAGGAUGCUUUUGGUGCGGUGCCUUCCGAGUUCCCUGGAACGGGACGCCUUAGAGGGUGAGAGCCCCGUACGGUUGGCCACCAAGCCUGUGUAAAGCUCCUUCGACGAGUCGAGUAGUUUGGGAAUGCUGCUCAAAAUGGGAGGUAUAUUUCUUCUAAAGCUAAAUACUGGCCAGAGACCGAUAGCGCACAAGUAGAGUGAUCGAAAGAUGAAAAGCACUUUGAAAAGAGGGUUAAAUAGCACGUGAAAUUGUUGAAAGGGAAGGAUUUAUGACCAGACUUUUUCUGGGGGGAUCAUCCGGUGUUCUCACCGGUGCACUUCCCCUAGUUGAGGCCAGCAUCGGUUUCUGUCGGGGGAUAAAAGCUUCGGGAAUGUGGCUCCCUCCGGGGAGUGUUAUAGCCCGUUGCAUAAUACCCUGGCGGGGACCGAGGUUCGCGCAUUGCAAGGAUGCUGGCGUAAUGGUUAUUAAUCACCCGUCUUGAAACACGGACCAAGGAGUCGAACAUUUGUGCGAGUGUUUGGGUGUUAAACCCUCACGCGUAAUGAAAGUGAACGGAGGUGAGAGCCCUUCGGGGUGCAUCAUCGACCGAUCCUGAUGUCUUCGGAUGGAUUUGAGUAAGAGCAUAACUGUUCGGACCCGAAAGAUGGUGAACUAUGCGUGGAUAGGGUGAAGCCAGAGGAAACUCUGGUGGAGGCUCGCAGCGGUUCUGACGUGCAAAUCGAUCGUCAAAUCUGCGCAUGGGG
This 807-nucleotide ribosomal RNA is filed under the name Apiospora arundinis. Its description in RNAcentral is "eukaryotic LSU rRNA". It matches the Rfam family "Eukaryotic large subunit ribosomal RNA", at positions 89 to 922 of the family's 3401-position model. The record is from RNAcentral. Lineage: Eukaryota; Fungi; Ascomycota; Sordariomycetes; Amphisphaeriales; Apiosporaceae.